Molecule: ribosomal RNA, 800 nt
Filed under: uncultured cyanobacterium
Lineage: Bacteria; Bacillati; Cyanobacteriota
Description: bacterial SSU rRNA
Rfam family: Bacterial small subunit ribosomal RNA
Source: RNAcentral
GAUGAACGCUGGCGGUAUGCUUUACACAUGCAAGUCGUACGAAAGUGUUAAAACUUUAGUGGCGGACGGGUGAGUAACACGUGAGAAUUUACCUUUAGGAGGGGAAUAACAGUUAGAAAUGACUGCUAAUGCCGCAUAUCAUAAAUAUGAAAGAAGAAAUUCGCCUAAAGAAAAGCUUGCGUCUGAUUAGCUAGUUGGUAAGGGUAAAGGCCUACCAAGGCGACGAUCAGUAGCUGGUUUGAGAGGACGACCAGUCACACUGGAACUGAGACACGGUCCAGACUCCUACGGGAGGCAGCAGUGGGGAAUUUUCUGCAAUGGGCGCAAGCCUGACAGAGCAAUACCGCGUGAGGGAAGAAAGCCCACAGGGUUGUAAACCUCUUUUAUCAAGGAAGAAGUUCUGACGUUACUUGAUGAAUAAGCAUCGGCUAACUCCGUGCCAGCAGCCGCGGUAAGACGGGGGAUGCAAGUGUUAUCCGGAAUCACUGGGCGUAAAGCGUUUGUAGGUGGUCUAGUAAGUCUAUUGUUAAAGCUUGAAGCUUAACUUCAAAAAUGUAAUAGAAACUAUUAGACUUGAGGAUAGUAGGGGUAAAGGGAAUUUCCAGUGGAGCGGUGAAAUGCGUAGAGAUUGGAAGGACCACCGAUGGCGAAGGCACUUUACUGGGCUAUUUCUGACACUAAGAGACGAAAGCUAGGGUAGCGAAUGGGAUUAGAUACCCCAGUAGUCCUAGCUGUAAACGAUGGAUACUAGAUGUUGCGUGUAUCGAUCCAUGCAGUAUCGUAGCUAACGCGUUAAGUAU